This 1219-nucleotide long non-coding RNA is filed under the name Monodelphis domestica (gray short-tailed opossum). Its description in RNAcentral is "lncRNA (ENSMODG00000041782.1)". Lineage: Eukaryota; Metazoa; Chordata; Mammalia; Didelphimorphia; Didelphidae. The record is from RNAcentral.
AUGAAUUCAAUGCAAUAUAAUCAGAAUUACGCCCAACUUGAUGACAACUCAGUAGAUGUCAAUAAAUUACGUGCCUUCCUCAGCAACUCAGGAAUCCACCUGACUGAGAAAGAAACCCAAGAGAUACUGAAGCACACUCCAGUUGACGGUGAGCCCUUGGCUAUCCCUGUGGUCUGUUGGUAUGUGUGUUACAGCUUUGUCAGGAGGCUUAAGGAUUAGCACAUAUGUUUAAAAGGUAUUUCAGAUCAAAGCCCCGUAUAAUACUUUCUUUAAUCAUUUUGCUAACCAUUGCUCUUCAGUCUUAUUUCUCAUAGCUGAUGUAAAUAAUUUAUCAUUCAAAAGAAUAUAAGAUUCUCCAGGGCAAAGAUUUAUUUCCUUUUUGACUUUGUAACCUAGCACAUUGCCUGCACCCAGUGGCACUUAUUGAAUCACAUUUCCAAGCCUGGCAAAGUAAAAUGAAAUUAUAUCUUUGGUUUUGAAAACAAAUGUCAAAGCACUGUAACAUAAAACUUUAUGGCCAAAUAUAUGGAAGGGUAGAAUCUAUAUGCUGUUUAAAAUUCUGGAGGUUAAUGACUUUAUGAGUCUAAUAGGAAGGAAAUAUAAGAAAACAUUGAUUGAAGAGAGCUUGACAAAAUUUAGUCCAAUCAAUUUUAUUAAGUGCUUACUAUGUGUCAGGAACCAUGCUUAAGAGCUAGGGAUAUGAUUAUUAAAAAGAAAGACAGUCCCUGUGCUCAAAGAGUUUAUAGUCUUAUGGGUGGGAUAGACAAAAACAGAAAAGACAGAAAAGCAGGAUGGAAAAGACUAGGGGGUUACCUCAUCUCCAGGGCAUCUUGAAGCCAGGCAGAGCAGCAGAUGCAGAAUGGAGUGAUUAUAAUAGACUGAGCUGGAAUGGCUGGUAGGCAAGUAGGUUUUCCUUUCCCUCCUUUGUAUUUUUACAUUCAGCCCUUUUGACUGUGGGAGGAGACAUUCAAGGUAGAGAGAAGCAGUGAAAAAGGACUACCAGUGUAGAUUGUCACUUUAUUCUCUUGCUUCCUCCAUUCCCUUUGUCAAUAUGACAGCUCAUGCAGUAUGAGUAAAUCCAGCAAAGCUAUCUUUAGAGCAUACUGAAAUGGGCAGCUUAUGAUGCUCCCAAAACAAGGAAUCUGAGCAAGGAAGGACUCAUGUAGCCAAAUGGAAAAGGAUGCAGUAGGCUACAUUGACAACUAAAUAAGCAUUAAAA